AAAACGUUUUUGUCGAUGUCUUGAAAAUUGUCAAACGUCACCAAAUUGAACGUUUACUCAAAGGUUUCGAUCUAGGGAUGCAGUUUAUAUUCAAAGAUAAAUUGGAAAAAUGGCGAGAAUCUAUUGGAAUUCCACUGAGUCCAGUUUAUCAAGAUUUCUGAAGCACAUCAUCCAGUUCUGUUUCUUCUACUCAUGGAUCAAACACUAAGACACCUACAAGAUUUAUGCCAUACCAGAGAUCUAUAUCUAGUCCUGAUAAUUCAUGUAUCGGGAUAAUGCUCGCUGAUAUUCUUAAUGAAAAUUCAAGAGGAAAGGGCCUUGUCGAUUAUUAUAAUAAGUUUUUAAGUUUCCAUGAAGAUCAACGAUCAGUUCUUAUUUCUUUAAUAGCUCAUUCUUAUGAAGAGAAAGGUGUGAAGAUGUCUCUAGCUGCCAGUUACCAACUAGAAAAACAAAUUUUUUGAAAGGUUUCCAUCUGAAAAAAUGGAAUAUUACAGAACUGCAAAGAGAGGCAACCUCUAUAACAAAUUUUAUAAUCUUACUACAUCAUUUAAAGUAGUAUCAGGACCUCUAGGAAAUUCUGUAGAAAAAAAAUCUUCUAUUAAUUCAGAUAAAAUCAGCAGACAUUUAAAAAAUGUUGAGCCAGAAAAUGAUGCCGAGAGUUGUAUUAAAGCACUUAAGUUUGAUAAUUUAAGUUCAUUUGAAUUUGAUUACACAUGGAAGGCCUGUUGUAAUUCAAGAAUUCAAUAUAUUAAAAGUAAUACCACUAAAGACGUAUGGAAAAAUGACCAUUUUACAAACAACCAAGUGGUUAUCGACUGAUUGACAUGGACUUUAAGAUAUAAUUUAGUCCACAUGAUACACUUCUUGAAAAAUGGGAAGCAUGUUUUAAUAGCAUCAUAUCUUUUCUAUCUAAAGAAAACCAUAUCAAGGACAGAAAUGUAAAAAAAAUCAUUGAGACAUUAUUGACUGAUGUUGGCAUAUCAGAGAGUAAGCUAAAAUUAUCUUUUUUUUUUUAAAUAUUUGCAUUUCAAAACUGCAGGGCUUAAAUUCUUAAUGUUAUUGAAUUUUUACAUGUUAUUUUAAUUUUUCGGUUUUUGUUAAACGGUAUAAUUCAAAAAUAAAUAGGGAAUUCAUUUUUUUUACAUACCUACCAAGUACCAAUACUAACAUAACUACCUAAAUAUAAAGCAUACAUUUUAAUAUUCUAUACAUACCACCACCGAUAAAGUUCAUGAUUGGAUCCAUUAUCAUUCUGUAUUAGGUUAUUGUAAUACAUAAGGACAACAUAUUUAAAAAGUCACUAAAAAAGUUGUAUUUCUUCAAUAACUUUACUUCAGGCUUAAGAAGUUGUAAACUGUUACCAAGUUAGAAAGCUACUAAUCAAUUAUU
Metopolophium dirhodum (rose-grain aphid) is the source of this 1389-nucleotide long non-coding RNA. RefSeq lists it as uncharacterized. Lineage: Eukaryota; Metazoa; Arthropoda; Insecta; Hemiptera; Aphididae. The record is from RefSeq and is a predicted model, not a curated record. The transcript is spliced from 4 exons.